RNAcentral lists this ribosomal RNA (497 nucleotides) under uncultured bacterium. Its description in RNAcentral is "partial 16S ribosomal RNA". It matches the Rfam family "Bacterial small subunit ribosomal RNA", at positions 28 to 507 of the family's 1533-position model. The record is from RNAcentral.
GAUGAACGCUGGCGGCGUGCCUAAUACAUGCGAGUCGAGCGAACAGACGAGGAGCUUGCUCCUCUGACGUUAGCGGCGGACGGGUGAGUAACACGUGGAUAACCUACUUAUAAGACUGGGAUAACUUCGGGAAACCGGCGCUAAUCCCGGAUAAUCUAUUGAACCGCAUGGUUCAAUAGUGAAAGUCGGUUUUGCUGUCACUUAUCGAUGGAUACGCGCCGCAGUAGCUAGUUGGUAAGGUAACGGCUUAUCAAGGCAACGAUGCGUAGCCGACCGGAGAGGGUGAUCGGCCACACUGGAACUGGGACACGGUCCAGACGCCUGCGGGAGGCAGCAGUAGGGAAUCGUCCGCAAUGGGCGAAAGCCUGACGGAGCAACGCCGCGUGAGAUAUGAAGGUCUUCGGAUCGUAAAACUCUGUUAUUAGGGAAGAACAAAUGUGUAAGUAACUAUGCACGUCUUGACGGUACCGAAUCAGAAAGCCACGGCUAACUACGUG